UAAGACGAACUGUGCGAACGUUAUUCGGAAUCACUGGGCUUACAGGGUGCGUAGGCGGCCUGUUAAGUAGGGUGUGAAAUCCCCCGGCCCAACCGGGGAAUUGCGCUCUAAACUAGCAGGCUUGAGUGAGCUAGGGGUACACGGAACUUCCAGUGGAGCGGUGAAAUGUGUUGAUAUUGGAAGGAACACCGGAGGCGAAAGCGGUGUACUGGGGCUUAACUGACGCUGAGGCACGAAAGCCAGGGGAGCGAACGGG
Molecule: ribosomal RNA, 256 nt
Filed under: uncultured bacterium
Lineage: Bacteria
Description: partial 16S ribosomal RNA
Rfam family: Bacterial small subunit ribosomal RNA
Source: RNAcentral